RNAcentral lists this ribosomal RNA (2967 nucleotides) under Spumella sp. Baekdong012001B8. RNAcentral describes it as "large subunit ribosomal RNA". It matches the Rfam family "Bacterial large subunit ribosomal RNA". The record is from RNAcentral. Lineage: Eukaryota; Chrysophyceae; Chromulinales; Chromulinaceae.
CCUUGGUAUCCAGAAGCGAUGAAGGACGUGGUUACCGGCGAAACACUUCGGGGAGCUGGAAACAAGCAAAGAUCCGGAGUUGUCCGAAUGAGGAAACUCAAUAACUCCUUGCUGAAUUUAUAAGCAAGCUGAGAGCGAACCCAGGGAACUGAAACAUCUUAGUACCUGGAGGAAAAGAAAGUAAAAACGAUUCCCGGAGUAGCGGCGAGCGAAAUGGGACCGGCUUAAACAUUUUAAGUUUUCAUACCUAAAGUGGGUAGUGGGGAACAAUGCUUCAGCCUUAUAUUAAAGUGAAAAUUAGGUUAGUUAGUUGGAAAGCUAAGCCAUAGAAAGUAAUAGCCUUGUAACCGAAAAUUUUCUUUUUUUUUUUCUGACUGUAAGAGUGAUUUUCUUUUUGGAAACUAAAGCUAAGAGAAAAACAGAAAAAAGAAACUUAGGUUGUUUUGUUGCCCCGAGUAGCAUGGGCCACGUGAAAUCCCGUGUGAAUCUGCGAGGACCACCUCGUAAAGCUAAAUAUUCCUGGAUGUCCGAUAGUGAACAAGUACCGCGAGGGAAAGGUGAAAAGAACCCCGGAAGGGGAGUGAAAUAGAUCGUGAAAUUGCAAGCUUACAAACAGAAGGUGAACGACUUAGCGUUUUACUUCGUGCCUGUUGAAGAAUGUUCCGGCGACUUAUAUCUAGUGGCAGGUUAAGAUAGAAAUAUUGGAGCCAUAGUGAAAGCGAGCUUGAAUAGAGCGAAAUGUCUCUAGAUAUAGACCCGAACCCGCUUGAUCUAACCAUGGCCAGGAUGAAACUUAGGUAAUACUAAAUGGAGGUCCGAACCGACUAAUGUUGAAAAAUUAGCGGAUGAGUUGUGGUUAGGGGUGAAAUGCCAAUCGAAAGCGGAGCUAGCUGGUUCUCCCCGAAAUGUAUUUAGGUGCAGCGGUUAAUAUUUUAGCGUAGGGGUAAAGCACUGUUUCGGUGCGGGCUGGUAAUUCGGUACCAAAUCGAGGCAAACUCAGAAUACUACGUGUACAAUUAGCCAGUAAGACUACGAGGGAUAAGCUUCAUAGUCAAGAGGGAAACAGCCCAGAUCACCAGCUAAGGCCCCAAAAUAAUUGCUAAGUGAAAAAGGUAGUGUAAAAGCUUUUACAACCAGGAGGUUUGCUUAGAAGCAGCAAUCCUUUAAAAAGUGCGUAAUAGCUUACUGGUCUAGCGGUUAUGCGCCGAAAAUUUACGGGACUAAGCAAUUUGCCGAAGCUGUGAGAUAAAUUUUAUUAUAUGUCUAUAUCUAAUAUGGAAACAUAUAUAAAAGAUAUCGGUAGGGGAGCGUUCCAUUGUAGGUUGAAGUACCAGCGAAAGCGGAUAUGGACGAAAUGGAAGUGAGAAUGCCGGAUUGAGUAGCGAAAACAUUGGUGAGAAUCCAAUGCUCCGAAACCCUAAGGUUUCCUUUGGAAGGUUCGUCCACGAAGGGUUAGUCAGGACCUAAGGUGAGGCUGAAAAGCGUAAUCGAUGGACAAUAGGUUAAUAUUCCUAUACUGAGUGUUGUUUGUAUCGAGGGACGAAGUAGGCUACAUUAGCCGGAAAUUGGUUACCGGUUCAAGUAUACGAGGUGUUGAGAAAUAGAGAAAAUAUUUUGAGCUAAGAUAUGAGUACAAGAUUCUAAGAAAUCAAAGUAAUUUAUGUCAAACUUCCAAGAAAAGCUCGCAAUGCGUUAAGCAAUACUCACCUGUACCUUAAACCGACACAGGUAGGGAGGUAGAGAAUACCAAGGAGCGCGAGAGAACCCUCCUUAAGGAACUCGGCAAAAUAGCUCUGUAACUUCGGAAGAAAGAGUGCCCAUUGGGCUGCAAUAUCAAGUUCCAAGCAACUGUUUAGCAAAAACACAGGUCUCCGCUAAGUUGCAAGACGACGUAUGGGGGCUGACGCCUGCCCAGUGCUAGUAAGUUAAAGAAGCAGGUCAAGUCUGUUAACGCAGGCUGAAGCUUGUAACUAAAGCCCUAGUGAACGGCGGCCGUAACUAUAACGGUCCUAAGGUAGCGAAAUUCCUUGUCGGGUAAGUUCCGACCCGCACGAAUGGCGUAAUGAUUUGGAAGCUGUCUCAAGGAGGGACUCGGCGAAAUAGAAUUGUCUGUGAAGAUGCGGACUACUUGCGCCAGGACAGUAAGACCCUAUGAAGCUUUACUGUAUCCUGAAAUUGAGUAUUGAUUUGGCUUGCGCAGAAUAGGUGGGAGACUAUGAAUCUAUUUUUCUGGGAGUAGAGGAGUCAUUUUUGAGAUACCACUCUGGCGAGAUUGAUAUUCUAAUUUUAAACCAUAAGCUGGUUAAAAAACAUUUUCAGGUGGGCAGUUUCACUGGGGCGGUGGCCUCCUAAAAGGUAACGGAGGCGUACAAAGGUUUUCUCAGAUCGUUUAGAAAUCGAUUUUAGAGUGCAAAGGCAAAAGGAAGCUUGACUGUGAGACAAACAAGUCGAGCAGAGACGAAAGUCGGUCUUAGUGAUCUGACGCUACUGUGUGGAAAGGGCGUCACUCAACGGAUAAAAGUUACUCUAGGGAUAACAGGCUGAUCUCCUCCAAGAGCUCCUAUCGACGAGGAGGUUUGGCACCUCGAUGUCGGCUCAUUGCAUCCUGGGGCGGUAGUACGUCCCAAGGGUUGGGCUGUUCGCCCAUUAAAGCAGUACGUGAGCUGGGUUCAGAACGUCGCGAGACAGUUCGGUCCAUAUCCGGCGUGAGCGUGAGAGUAUUGCGAGUGACCUUUCUUUAGUACGAGAGGACCGAGAAAGACAUGCCGCUAGUGUAUCAGUUAUCGUGCCAUCGGUAAACGCUGAGUAGCUAUGCAUGGUUAGGAUAACCGCUGAAAGCAUCUAAGUGGGAAGCCGUCCUCAAGAUGAGUACUCUUAGGUUGCGGCAAGACGAGCCGCUUAAUAGGUAUUCGGUGUACAUAUAGCAAUAUAUUUAGCCAAGAUAUACUAAUAACCAUAUUCUUAAGC